This 424-nucleotide ribosomal RNA is filed under the name uncultured bacterium. RNAcentral describes it as "partial 16S ribosomal RNA". It matches the Rfam family "Bacterial small subunit ribosomal RNA", at positions 360 to 776 of the family's 1533-position model. The record is from RNAcentral.
AAUUUUGGACGAUGGGGGAAACCCUUAUCCAGCCAUCCCGCGUGUAUGAUGAAGGCCUUCGGUUUGUAAAGUACUUUUGGCAGAGAAGAAAAGGCAUCCCCUAAUACGGUUUGCGUCUGACGGUAUCUGCUUAGUAAGCACCGGCUACCUACGUGCCAGCAGCCGCGGGAAUACGUAGGGUGCAAGCGUUAAUCGGAAUUACUGGGCGUAAAGCGUGUGUAGGCGGUUCGGAAAGAAAGCUGUGAAAUCCCAGGGCUAAACCUUGGAACUGCAUUUUUAACUGCCGAGCUAGAGUAUGUCAGAGGGGGGUAGAAUUCAAAGUGUAGCAGUGAAAUGCGUAGAUAUGUGGAGGAAUACCGAUGGCGAAGGCAGCACCCUGCGAUAAUACUGACGCUCAGACACGAAAGCGUGGGGAGCAAACAGG